GAUGAGCGCUGGCGGCGUGCCUAAUACAUGCAAGUCGAACGCUGGAGCUCUAGCUUGCUAGAUCGAAGGAGUGGCGAACGGGUGAGUAAUACAUAAGCAACCUACCCACGAAGACUGGGAUAAUCUCUGGAAACGGGGACUAAUACCGGAUAGGUAAUCGGAAGGCAUCUUCUGGUUAUUAAAGGUUAAAAACACUGGUGGAUGGGCUUAUGGCGCAUUAGUUAGUUGGUGAGGUAACGGCCCACCAAGACGAUGAUGCGUAGCCGGCCUGAGAGGGUGAACGGCCACAUUGGGACUGAGACACGGCCCAGACUCCUACGGGAGGCAGCAGUAGGGAAUUGUCGGCAAUGGGGGCAACCCUGACCGAGCAACGCCGCGUGAGUGAAGACGGCCCUCGGGUUGUAAAGCUCUGUUGUAAGGGAAGAACGGUAGAUAGAGAAUAUCUAAGUGACGGUACCUUACCAGAAAGCCACGGCUAACUACGUG
Molecule: ribosomal RNA, 486 nt
Filed under: uncultured bacterium
Lineage: Bacteria
Description: partial 16S ribosomal RNA
Rfam family: Bacterial small subunit ribosomal RNA
Source: RNAcentral